Octopus sinensis (East Asian common octopus) is the source of this 151-nucleotide long non-coding RNA. RefSeq lists it as uncharacterized. The record is from RefSeq and is a predicted model, not a curated record. Lineage: Eukaryota; Metazoa; Mollusca; Cephalopoda; Octopoda; Octopodidae. The transcript has 3 exons.
ACAAAAAUUACAUUUACACCGAAAUAAACAGAGAACUUUGGAACGAUUUCAAACAGUCAAAUACACUGGACAAGAUUAACUCUGUGGGAUGUGGUAUAAUAUUUUUCGACUCUUAUUAUUUCCUUGACAAAAAAGAAACUAAUGAUUUGAC